GACGAACGCUGGCGGCGUGCUUAACACAUGCAAGUCGAGCGGUAAGGCCCUUUCGGGGGUACACGAGCGGCGAACGGGUGAGUAACACGUGGGUGACCUGCCUUUAGCUCUGGGAUAAGCCUGGGAAACCGGGUCUAAUACCGGAUAUGACUCCGCGGCGCAUGUUGUGGGGUGGAAAGCCUUGUGCGGCUGGAGAUGGGCCCGCGGCCUAUCAGCUUGUUGGUGGGGUGAUGGCCUACCAAGGCGACGACGGGUAGCCGGCCUGAGAGGGCGACCGGCCACACUGGGACUGAGACACGGCCCAGACUCCUACGGGAGGCAGCAGUGGGGAAUCUUGCGCAAUGGGCGAAAGCCUGACGCAGCGACGCCGCGUGAGGGAUGACGGCC
Molecule: ribosomal RNA, 387 nt
Filed under: uncultured bacterium
Lineage: Bacteria
Description: bacterial SSU rRNA
Rfam family: Bacterial small subunit ribosomal RNA
Source: RNAcentral